Molecule: unclassified non-coding RNA, 255 nt
Filed under: uncultured Hypocreales
Lineage: Eukaryota; Fungi; Ascomycota; Sordariomycetes; Hypocreales
Description: sequence contains 5.8S rRNA gene, ITS2, 28S rRNA gene
Rfam family: 5.8S ribosomal RNA (bases 1-52)
Source: RNAcentral
AACGCACAUUGCGCCCGCUGGUAUUCCGGCGGGCAUGCCUGUUCGAGCGUCGUCAUCAACCCUCGGGCCCCCCGUCGUUUCGGGCCCGGCGUUGGGGAUCGGCCUGCUGGGCCGGCCCCGAAAUUCAGUGGCGGUCUCGCCGACGCCUCCUCUGCGCAGUAAUGCACCUCGCACCGGAGCGCGGCGCGGCCUCGCCGUGAAACCUAGACUCAUGAAGUUGACCUCGAAUCAGGUAGGGUUACCCGCUGAACUUAA